Molecule: microRNA precursor, 61 nt
Filed under: Pan troglodytes (chimpanzee)
Lineage: Eukaryota; Metazoa; Chordata; Mammalia; Primates; Hominidae
Description: miRNA
Source: RNAcentral
UCUCGUCUGAUCUCAGAAGCUAAGCAGGGUCAGACCUGGUUAGUACUUGGAUGGGAAACUU